RNAcentral lists this long non-coding RNA (615 nucleotides) under Lathyrus oleraceus (garden pea). RNAcentral's name for it is "Pisum sativum (pea) long non-coding RNA (PSAT_LNC004311)". The record is from RNAcentral. Lineage: Eukaryota; Viridiplantae; Streptophyta; Magnoliopsida; Fabales; Fabaceae.
GUCUUGUUCUACUUCGUGGUGAAGAGGUUGUGUCGAUGACGGUUGAAGGUCCUCCUCCUCCUGAAGAGUCUAGGUCGAAGGGUGUUAAUGCUGCGGCAAUGGCUGGUCCUGGGAUUGGUAGGGCUGCUGGGAGAGGUGUCCCUCCUGCUCCUGUUAUUCAAGCUCAGCCUGGUUUGUCUGGUCCUGUUCGUGGUGUUGGUGGACCUGCUCCCGGAAUGAUGCAGCCGCAGAUCUCGCGGCCUCCUCAGAUGUCGGCGCCUCCUGUUUCGUAUCCCGGUGGUGCUCCGGUUAUGCGUCCUCCUGGUCAGAUGCCUUAUCCUGGACAAGGUCCACCUCCGAUGGGGAGGGGUCCUCCUCCACCUAUGCCGCCUGGACAAUUUCCUCAGAGACCAGGUGGUCCUCCACCACAAUUUUCCAUGCCGCCUCCUCAGUAUGGGCAGAGACCUAUGGGCCCACCUCCUCCUGGACAGAUGGUUAGAGGACCUCCUCCUCCACCUCGUCCUGGAAUGCAAGCACCACCACGUCCUGGCAUGCCUCCUCCUCCUGGAAGCGGUGUUCCGGUGUAUGGUCCACCUCGGCCUGGCAUGCCCCCUCCACCUAAUGCUCCAAACCAAC